GCCAGUGUGGCAUAGUGGCUUGAGUGCUAGAUUAUAACUCUGGAGAGCAAAGUUUGAUUCCCCGCACAGCCA
Molecule: non-coding RNA, 72 nt
Organism: Phrynosoma platyrhinos (Desert horned lizard)
Lineage: Eukaryota; Metazoa; Chordata; Lepidosauria; Squamata; Phrynosomatidae
Source: the annotation of a GenBank genome assembly